AGAGAAUUGAUCUUGGUCAGGAUGAACGCAGCGACAGGCCUAACACAUGCAAGUCGAGGGGCAGCGCGGAGUAGCAAUACGUUGGCGGCGACCGGCGCGACGGGUGAGUAACACGUAUCGCAACCAACCCAUAACAGGGGGAUAACCCGGAGAAAUCCGGACUAAUACCGCAUAAGACCACGAUAUCGCAUGAUAUAGAGGUCAAAUAUUUAUAGGUUAUGGACGGGCAUGCGUCUGAUUAGCUGGUUGGCGGGGUAACGCCCACCAAGGCAUCGAUCAGUAGGGGUUCUGAGAGGAAGGUCCCCCACAUUGGAACUGAGACACGGUCCAAACUCCUACGGGAGGCAGCAGUGAGGAAUAUUGGUCAAUGGGCGAAAGCCUGAACCAGCCAUGUCGCGUGAAAGGAUGAAGGUCCUAUGGAUUGUAAACUUCUUUUGCAGGAGGGUAAAGUGAGCUACGUGUAGUUCAUUGCAAGUACCCUGCGGAUAAGCAUCGGCUAACUCCGUGCCAGCCGCCGC
RNAcentral lists this ribosomal RNA (518 nucleotides) under uncultured bacterium. Its description in RNAcentral is "bacterial SSU rRNA". It matches the Rfam family "Bacterial small subunit ribosomal RNA", at positions 1 to 518 of the family's 1533-position model. The record is from RNAcentral.